Molecule: ribosomal RNA, 253 nt
Filed under: uncultured bacterium
Lineage: Bacteria
Description: partial 16S ribosomal RNA
Rfam family: Bacterial small subunit ribosomal RNA
Source: RNAcentral
UACGAAGGGGGCUAGCGUUGCUCGGAAUCACUGGGCGUAAAGGGCGCGUAGGCGGCGUUUUAAGUCGGGGGUGAAAGCCUGUGGCUCAACCACAGAAUGGCCUUCGAUACUGGGACGCUUGAGUAUGGUAGAGGUUGGUGGAACUGCGAGUGUAGAGGUGAAAUUCGUAGAUAUUCGCAAGAACACCGGUGGCGAAGGCGGCUCACUGGCCCGGUACUGACGCUGAGGUGCGAAAGCGUGGGGAGCAAACAGG